UACGUAGGGUGCAAGCGUUAAUCGGAAUUACUGGGCGUAAAGCGUGCGCAGGCGGUCUUGUAAGACAGAGGUGAAAUCCCCGGGCUUAACCUGGGAACUGCCUUUGUGACUGCAAGGCUCGAGUGCGGCAGAGGGGGAUGGAAUUCCGCGUGUAGCAGUGAAAUGCGUAGAUAUGCGGAGGAACACCGAUGGCGAAGGCAAUCCCCUGGGCCUGCACUGACGCUCAUGCACGAAAGCGUGGGGAGCAAACAGG
Molecule: ribosomal RNA, 253 nt
Filed under: uncultured bacterium
Lineage: Bacteria
Description: partial 16S ribosomal RNA
Rfam family: Bacterial small subunit ribosomal RNA
Source: RNAcentral